AUUUUUAGUAAAGACAAGAUUUUACAGUGUUGGCCAGGCUGGUCUCGGACUCCUGACCUCAGGUGAUCCGACUGCCUCGGCUACCCAAAAUGCUGGGAUUACAAGGUGUGAGCCACUGCACCCAUCCCCUACUUUCUGUAUUAGUCUGUUCUUGUACUGCUAUAAAGAACUACCUGAGACUGAGUAAUUUAUACAGAAAUGAGGUUCAAUUGGCUCAAAGUUAUGCAGGCUGUACAGGCUUCUGCUUCUGGGGAGGCCUAAGGAAAUUUAACAAUCAUGGUGGAAGGUGAAGGGGUAGCAGGCACAUCUUUACAUGGUUGACAGGAGAAUGGUUGGGGAGAUGCUACACACUUUUUAACAAGCAGAUCUGGUAAGAACUCUGUCAUGAGAUUGCACUAGGGGGACGUUGCUAAACUAUUAGAAACUACUCCCAUGAUCCAGUCACCUACCACCAGGCCCCACGUCCAAAAUUGUACAAUUCAACAUGAGAUUUGGGUAGGGACACAGAGCCAAACUAUAUCAACCUGGCUUCCAAAUAACAUGGACCAGUUAUUCAUAGCCUGAUGAGUUAUAUAUUUACCAUUUAUUGUGAACAACAAAUACCUUUCUAGAUGUUGUAAUGGACUAAUUUUUAAAAUGGACUGUUACUGCUAAAGAGUAAUUUUUGAAAAGUUAAAAGCAUAUUGCAUGCAGACAUAAAAUGAACGUAUAUCAAAGGUUCAUUCAGUUCAGUUAAUGAGGGAAUUAACUGAGAUGAAUUAAAGGCAAAUUUGAGAAACUGAAACCACCCCCAGGAAUGCUGAAAUAAAUGUAUCAAUAUGUAACAAAAUUGGUUAAUAUCCAUAGAGCAAUAAAAUGUAAUGUUUGGGGUUAUCUUUUCUUCCAGGUAGAUAUCAAUCAUAUCUCUACCGGACAACAUUUAUUUACAUUGCUAUGGACAAGAAUUAUUUGUAAUUACUGACAGUGAAAUGGAAAGUUAGUCAAAAGUGCAUAGCCUUAUUGACUUGGAUAUUCUGGAAACAUACCCAGGAAUCUCUUUUUCCCAUUUCUCAGUCUUGGACAGUUUUUCUGAUAUUUAAAAAAAUGCUUUUGGAGCAGUUUUAUUCAUUGAAUACUCAC
Molecule: long non-coding RNA, 1119 nt
Filed under: Homo sapiens (human)
Lineage: Eukaryota; Metazoa; Chordata; Mammalia; Primates; Hominidae
Description: HSALNT0357864
Source: RNAcentral